This 492-nucleotide ribosomal RNA is filed under the name uncultured bacterium. RNAcentral describes it as "partial 16S ribosomal RNA". It matches the Rfam family "Bacterial small subunit ribosomal RNA", at positions 28 to 507 of the family's 1533-position model. The record is from RNAcentral.
GGUGAACGCUGGCGGUAGGCCUAACACAUGCAAGUCGAACGGCAGCACAGUAAGAGCUUGCUCUUACGGGUGGCGAGUGGCGGACGGGUGAGGAAUACAUCGGAAUCUACUUUUUCGUGGGGGAUAACGUAGGGAAACUUACGCUAAUACCGCAUACGACCUACGGGUGAAAGCAGGGGAUCUUAGGCCCUUGCGCGAUUGAAUGAGCCGAUGUCGGAUUAGCUAGUUGGCGGGGUAAAGGCCCACCAAGGCGACGAUCCGUAGCUGGUCUGAGAGGAUGAUCAGCCACACUGGAACUGAGACACGGUCCAGACUCCUACGGGAGGCAGCAGUGGGGAAUAUUGGACAAUGGGCGCAAGCCUGAUCCAGCCAUACCGCGUGGGUGAAGAAGGCCUUCGGGUUGUAAAGCCCUUUUGUUGGGAAAGAAAAGCAGCAGGUUAAUACCCCGCUGUUCUGACGGUACCCAAAGAAUAAGCACCGGCUAACUUCGUG